AGAGUUUGAUCCUGGCUCAGGAUGAACGCUAGCUACAGGCUUAACACAUGCAAGUCGAGGGGCAUCAGGAAGAAAGCUUGCUUUCUUUGCUGGCGACCGGCGCACGGGUGAGUAACACGUAUCCAACCUGCCCUUUACUCGGGGAUAGCCUUUCGAAAGAAAGAUUAAUACCCGAUAGCAUAAUGAUUCCGCAUGGUUUCAUUAUUAAAGGAUUCCGGUAAAGGAUGGGGAUGCGUUCCAUUAGGUUGUUGGUGAGGUAACGGCUCACCAAGCCUUCGAUGGAUAGGGGUUCUGAGAGGAAGGUCCCCCACAUUGGAACUGAGACACGGUCCAAACUCCUACGGGAGGCAGCAGUGAGGAAUAUUGGUCAAUGGGCGUUAGCCUGAACCAGCCAAGUAGCGUGAAGGAUGAAGGCUCUAUGGGUCGUAAACUUCUUUUAUAUAAGAAUAAAGUGCAGUAUGUAUACUGUUUUGUAUGUAUUAUAUGAAUAAGGAUCGGCUAACUCCGUGCCAGCAGCCGCGGUAAUACGGAGGAUCCGAGCGUUAUCCGGAUUUAUUGGGUUUAAAGGGAGCGUAGGUGGACUGGUAAGUCAGUUGUGAAAGUUUGCGGCUCAACCGUAAAAUUGCAGUUGAUACUGUCAGUCUUGAGUACAGUAGAGGUGGGCGGAAUUCGUGGUGUAGCGGUGAAAUGCUUAGAUAUCACGAAGAACUCCGAUUGCGAAGGCAGCUCACUGGACUGCAACUGACACUGAUGCUCGAAAGUGUGGGUAUCAAACAGGAUUAGAUACCCUGGUAGUCCACACAGUAAACGAUGAAUACUCGCUGUUUGCGAUAUACAGUAAGCGGCCAAGCGAAA
Molecule: ribosomal RNA, 855 nt
Filed under: human gut metagenome
Description: bacterial SSU rRNA
Rfam family: Bacterial small subunit ribosomal RNA
Source: RNAcentral